RNAcentral lists this non-coding RNA (45 nucleotides) under Schistosoma curassoni. The record is from RNAcentral. Lineage: Eukaryota; Metazoa; Platyhelminthes; Trematoda; Strigeidida; Schistosomatidae.
CUUUAGCUAACGAGUCCCGAACAGGACGAAACGCGCGUCCUGGAU